RNAcentral lists this ribosomal RNA (163 nucleotides) under Leucaena esculenta. Its description in RNAcentral is "5.8S ribosomal RNA". The stretch from base 1 to 106 matches the Rfam family "5.8S ribosomal RNA", at positions 50 to 154 of the family's 154-position model. From Rfam's summary of the family: 5.8S ribosomal RNA (5.8S rRNA) is a component of the large subunit of the eukaryotic ribosome. It is transcribed by RNA polymerase I as part of the 45S precursor that also contains 18S and 28S rRNA. Functionally, it is thought that 5.8S rRNA may be involved in ribosome translocation. The record is from RNAcentral. Lineage: Eukaryota; Viridiplantae; Streptophyta; Magnoliopsida; Fabales; Fabaceae.
GAAAUAUGAUACUUGGUGUAAAUUGCAGAAUCCUGUGGACCAUCGAGUCUUUGAAUGCAAGUUGCACCUGAAGCCAUUAGGCCAAGGGCACAUCUGCCUGGGGUCAUGCAACGUCGCCGCUGUCCAUCCCGUGGGCGCGACAGAUGAUGGCUUCCCAGGAGCC